RNAcentral lists this long non-coding RNA (320 nucleotides) under Panax ginseng (ginseng). RNAcentral describes it as "long non-coding RNA (PGIN_LNC016736)". Lineage: Eukaryota; Viridiplantae; Streptophyta; Magnoliopsida; Apiales; Araliaceae. The record is from RNAcentral.
UCGAUUAAUUUUAUAUCAAAUUUAAAUUUACAUGUAAAUCAUAAAACACAAUAAUAAUAUAUAAAUUAUAUUCUUAUUUUUUAUUAUCUCAUAUAUAAUAUUUAUAUUUAUAUACACACUCAAAUUAUACAUCUACAAAACAUGAGAAAAAGUUGUGAGUGCAGCUCAAGUGCACAAAAAAGAAGAAAAAAAAAAAAAAAAAAAAAAAAAAAAAAAAAAAAAAAAAAAAAAAAAAAAAAAAAAAAAAAAAAAAAAAAAAAAAAAAAAAAAAAAAAAAAAAAAAAAAAAAAAAAAAAAAAAAAAAAAAAAAAAAAAAANNN